CAGUAGCCACGGUAACACGUAGAGUGCGAGCGUUAAUCGGAAUUACUGGGCGUAAAGCGUGCGCAGGCGGUUCGUUAAGACAGAUGUGAAAUCCCCGGGCUCAACCUGGGAACUGCAUUUGUGACUGGCGAGCUAGAGUAUGGCAGAGGGGGGUAGAAUUCCACGUGUAGAAGUGAAAUGCGUAGAGAUGUGGAGGAAUACCGAUGGCGAAGGCAGCCCCCUGGGCCAAUACUGACGCUCAUGCACGAAAGCGUGGGGAGCAAACAGGAUUAGAUACCCCCGUAGUCCCUGUCUCUUAUAC
Molecule: ribosomal RNA, 301 nt
Filed under: uncultured bacterium
Lineage: Bacteria
Description: partial 16S ribosomal RNA
Rfam family: Bacterial small subunit ribosomal RNA
Source: RNAcentral